RNAcentral lists this long non-coding RNA (2558 nucleotides) under Marmota monax (woodchuck). Lineage: Eukaryota; Metazoa; Chordata; Mammalia; Rodentia; Sciuridae. The record is from RNAcentral.
GACAAUAAGCAGAGAGAGAGAGAGCUCCACUCACCAAAGACAAAAUAUAUGCCUAACAGGCACAUCCCCCCAGGGACCCACCUCCUCCAGCCAUAUCCUACCUGCCUACAGUUACCACCCAGUUAAUCCCUAUGGGGGGGGGGGGUUCAUUCACUGAUUGGGUUAAGGCUCUCAUAACCCAGACGUUUCACUUCUAAACCUCUAAACCUGCAUUGUCUGACACGUGAGCUUUUGGGGGACACAUAUCUAAACCAUAACAGUAAGACCCACAGAAGCAGAACCCACUGAUAUGAAGGGCCAACUACAGGUAGUCACUGAAUCUACCCUCCUGGUAUCCCCAACCCAGGGGCCCCCUGGCUCUGCUUUUGUUGGAAUGCCUAAGGGAUAUUUUCCCAACAGAAUGAAGUAAAGGAUCUACAAAUCUAAAACUGCUUAAACAGCUUCCGACCCUCUCUGUCUCCCUUCAUAACUCGUUCCAGAGCCACCCAAAGCUACUAGUCCCUGAGCAUCUUGCAGAAUCAUGAAUCGAUUGUCUUCUCAUGCCCACUGCCUGCAUAAGAUUCUGUUUGCCAGGUUUCAGAAUGUCACCACUCCUCCUGUAUGCUGUCUUAUUUCCCUGUCCUUGAGCUGUGUCUCAUUUUUUUGCCUUUAAAAAAAAUCACUCUACUGCAAUUUUAGUAGGAUUUAGAGGAAUCAGAAUUGGUUGUGCACAUUUAGUUUAUUACCUUCAUCUUUACCUUUUUCAGGGAGUUUUUACAUAAUUAUGGAAUAUUAGCCUCCCGGAAAUAAUAAUAAGAAAAAGAAAGAAACAAACACCCUCUGAAUUUCUUCCUGUCUGUGUUGCAAGGUGCUGGUUCCCCUUUUUCUGUGGGAUGUUUGUGUGGAUAGUUGGUUAUUAAGGAAGAAAAUACUCUGUGUUUCAGGAGGCAGUAACUCUCAUGGGUGUGCUUGGACUUCUCUGAGUUGGACUGGGACCAGUUGAGCCUGUUCAGAGGAAACUGUGGAGAGGCGUGGUGCUGGAGAAUUAGAGGAACUUGGUCUUAGUGGGUAUGGGCAACUUCUCACCCCUGAAAUCCACCAGGUGGCAUGACUGCUCCUUAAAAUUGCUAAAAACUGUGGAAUUCAUAAAAUACUUCAAAGUGUGGGCUUCAGCUUCAAGAGAUAUACUUUUUCUCUGCUUCUUCAAGCACAAGGAUAAAAUGUUUCUGGUCUUUUGACCAACAUUAGACUUUAGAGUUAUGAAUGGGCAUUUCUCCCAGUGUGGAUCCAACAAACUACUGAUGAAAAUUGCAUCUGUACUGAACAUGCCAGUUUUCUUUUCCUUUCUUCUUCUUCUUCUUCAUCUUUUUUCCACCCAUUUUCUUAACAAUACAGUGUAACAUUUUUUUUCCCAUCUUUAGAGACGUUGAAGAUACCGGAGCCUGAGACUGAAUUUUUGAAAUCUGUUUGUUUACAGCACAGUCACUCAAUUUCUUUGCCUUUCUCAAUGACCAAGGAGUCAGACCUUCAAACCAGGCAUGACCUUUAAACUGGAGUAAGAUUGAUGGAUGAAAAUCAAGAGCUGAGCCUGGUAAGAACUGGCAGCAAGGAGAUCUUGCAACUGCCUGGCUCUCUAGUGGCCAGGACAGUUCCUUUUGAAGUAUUAAAGUAGCUUCCUGAUCCUACCUGGACAGCGGAAGCAACUGAAGUCAUUAGCGGAAACACCUUCAGACCCCCUUAUCAUCUUCAUAUCAUCUUCCUGACCUGUGUUUUCAUUGUUCUUUCGUUCAUUUUUAAAGGCGAAGCUGUGUUUUCGUUGCGUGUCCAUCUUUCUUAUCUUCUCCAGGUCUUCCUCUGGGCAUGACUUUUCACAUCCAGACAUACAGAAUCCUUCUUGUUGAACCAGUUAGGAACACGGAUGAAAAUUCAGAACAGAAAACCGAUGACUUAGGUCUUCUUUUUCUUAGGUAAUAAGAAGAAAGAGGCAGAGACAGCCCAGAGCUAGGAUGGUGGCUGCGUGGUGUCACCAGGAAACUUUUUCUGCCUCCCCAUCCUCCCCUGGUGGCUUUUGUCCUCGUGCUCAGUGUCUUUUGGUUGCUCAGUGCUAGGACCUGUAGCAUAGAUCCUGAUUCCAACCUAAAAAUUUUAAAAAGGCAAAAAACUUACUGUAAUUCAGCUUACCUCCUGGUACAGAACUUUCCUGAAAGCCUGCCCAGCAACUUACACCUACAUCUCCUUGACCAGAACUGUGCUGUGUCCUUUCAGGGUACAGAGAAGGCCAAGUAGAUGUAGGCGGAGACACUGCCACUCUGAACAAAAUCAGGGUUUUGUUAGCAAGAAAAGAAAAGAGUGGACAUUGCACAGACAAUCAGCAGCAUCUGUCAUAACUGUCAGAUUAUGAGAAAAUUCUGACAGGCAUUGGAUUGGAAUAAUCUUUCCAUAAAAUAUUUUAGCAGUACCCCCAAGAGCCUUAAAAAUAGUCCCACUCUCAUCUUUCAAUUACACUUCUUGAAGUCUAUCUUAAUAGUCAUAAAUGCAGAUCAAAAAAUUAUAUGCAUAAUUUUUAUUUUUAAUUAAAA